This 24-nucleotide non-coding RNA is filed under the name Arabidopsis thaliana (thale cress). The record is from RNAcentral. Lineage: Eukaryota; Viridiplantae; Streptophyta; Magnoliopsida; Brassicales; Brassicaceae.
UGAUCCGUUGACGGUUUUGUCCGC